GAUGAACGCUGGCGGCGUGCCUAAUACAUGCAAGUCGAGCGAACAGACGAGGAGGGUGCGCCUCUGACGUUAGCGGCGGACGGGUGAGUAACACGUGGAUAACCUAGCUAUAAGACUGGGGUAGCUUCGGGAAACCGGAGCUAAUACCGGGUAAUAUAUUGAACCGAUUGGUUAAAACGUGAAAGACGGUAUUGCUGUCUCUUAUAGAUGGAUUCGCGCCGAGUUAGCUAGUUGAGAAGGUAACGGCUUAGCAAGGCAACAGUGCGUAGCCCACCUGAGAGGAUGAUCAGCCACUCUGUAACGGGGACAAGGUCCAGACACCUAACGGAGGCACGAGUAAGAAAUCUUCCGCAAUGAGCAGUAGCCUAACGUGCCAACGCCGCGAGAGUCAGAAGCGGCUUCGCAGCGUAAAACUCUGUUAUUAGGGAAGAACAAAGGUCUAAGUAACGAUGCACGUCUUGACGGUACCUAAUCAGAAAGCCACGGCUAACUACGUG
Molecule: ribosomal RNA, 497 nt
Filed under: uncultured bacterium
Lineage: Bacteria
Description: partial 16S ribosomal RNA
Rfam family: Bacterial small subunit ribosomal RNA
Source: RNAcentral